AUUGAACGCUGGCGGCAUGCUUUACACAUGCAAGUCGAACGGUAACAGGUUAAGCUGACGAGUGGCGAACGGGCGAGUAAUGCAUCGGAACGUGCCCGGCCGUGGGGGAUAACGCAGCGAAAGUUGCGCUAAUACCGCAUACGAUCUGAGGAUGAAAGCGGGGGACCGUAAGGCCUCGCGCGAUCGGAGCGGCCGAUGUCAGAUGAGGUAGUUGGUGGGGUAAAGGCUCACCAAGCCAACGAUCUGUAGCUGGUCUGGGAGGACGACCAGCCACACUGGGACUGAGACACGGCCCAGACUCCUACGGGAGGCAGCAGUGGGGAAUUUUGGACAAUGGGCGAAAGCCUGAUCCAGCAAUGCCGCGUGCAGGAAGAAGGCCUUCGGGUUGUAAACUGCUUUUGUACGGAGCGAAAAGGUCUCCUCUAAUACAGGGGGCUCAUGACGGUACCGUAAGAAUAAGCACCGGCUAACUACGUGCCAGCAGCCGCAGUAA
Molecule: ribosomal RNA, 493 nt
Filed under: uncultured bacterium
Lineage: Bacteria
Description: partial 16S ribosomal RNA
Rfam family: Bacterial small subunit ribosomal RNA
Source: RNAcentral